ACGAACGCUGGCGGCGUGCUUAACACAUGCACGUCGAACGGAAAGGCCUCUUUCGGGGGGUACUCGAGUGGCGAACGGGUGAGUAACACGUGAGUAACCUGCCCUUGACUUUGGGAUAACUUCAGGAAACUGGGGCUAAUACCGGAUAGGAGCUCCUGCUGCAUGGUGGGGGUUGGAAAGUUUCGGCGGUUGGGGAUGGACUCGCGGCUUAUCAGCUUGUUGGUGGGGUAGUGGCUUACCAAGGCUUUGACGGGUAGCCGGCCUGAGAGGGUGACCGGCCACAUUGGGACUGAGAUACGGCCCAGACUCCUACGGGAGGCAGCAGUGGGGAAUAUUGCACAAUGGGUGGAAGCCUGAUGCAGCAACGCCGUGUGCGGGAUGACGGCCUUCGGGUUGUAAACCGCUUUCGCUCAUGACGAAGCUUUGUGUGACGGUAGUGGGUAAAGAAGCACCGGCUAACUACGUG
Molecule: ribosomal RNA, 466 nt
Filed under: uncultured bacterium
Lineage: Bacteria
Description: partial 16S ribosomal RNA
Rfam family: Bacterial small subunit ribosomal RNA
Source: RNAcentral